UACGGGGGAUGCAAGCGUUAUCCGGAUUUAUUGGGUUUAAAGGGUGCGUAGGUUGUUUUUUAAGUCAGCGGUGAAAGUUUGUGGCUCAACCAUAAAAUUGCCGUUGAAACUGGAAGACUUGAGUGUGUUUGAGGUAGGCGGAAUGCGUGGUGUAGCGGUGAAAUGCAUAGAUAUCGCGCAGAACGCCGAUUGCGAAGGCAGCUUACCGGCGCUCAACUGACGCUGAGGCACGAAAGUGCGGGUAUCGAACAGG
RNAcentral lists this ribosomal RNA (253 nucleotides) under uncultured Parabacteroides sp. RNAcentral describes it as "partial 16S ribosomal RNA". It matches the Rfam family "Bacterial small subunit ribosomal RNA", at positions 524 to 776 of the family's 1533-position model. Lineage: Bacteria; Pseudomonadati; Bacteroidota; Bacteroidia; Bacteroidales; Tannerellaceae. The record is from RNAcentral.